UCCGGUGAAAGAGGGGGUGCACAGACACUUGGGGUUCUUGUGGCCAGAGAUGCAGGUGCCUCCAUUGCGGCAGUGGAGGCUGCCGCAGGCCUGGGCGUCAUAUUCACAUGUGGAGCCAGUAAAGCCCUGGAUAAAAAGUACUCACAGGAGGACAUUUGCAGAUGAAGCCAUAUUGGGUGUUGCUGGCUACAGCGCAGGUCCCUCCAUUGCGACACGGUUUCCCCUUACAUCCAUCAAACACUGUGUCACAGCGUUGACCUACGGAGGUGACGGACACAAACAUUGUUUCAAAAGACCACUUUUAUAAAAUACCUCCAACAGCAUGUCAGCAUUUUUGGGAUACACCCAACUCCGCUGGCACUUUGGGCUGACCGACAACACACCCUCCCUUCAUGUGUGAGAGGAAAAUCAAUGGUGUAUUUGACAAGCAGAGGAAAGGAUGGAGGCAAGACGGGAGGAGGAGUUUUGCAGACAUGCCCUGGCUGCUGUUAAGCCCUAAUUAAUGAAGUGUGGAAACAAGGGAGGAGAGGAUGGAGAGGCAGAGUGGUGUGGAGGAGUGUGUGUGGGGUCCGCUGACCUUGGGUUCCCCGGGGACAGGAGCAUUUGUAGGUAUUGAUCAGGUCAAUGCAGGUGCCCCCGUUCUGGCAUGGCUGAGAGAAACAUUCAUUGAUCUCGUCAGAGCAGUUGGUCCCCACGUAUCCGGGCAGGCACUGAGAGAGAGAAGAAGAAGAAGAAGAAGAAGAAGAAGAAGAAGAAGAAGAAGAAGGAGCCGAGAAGGAGGAAGAAAAGGAAGGCGGAGGAAGAAGAGAAGGGAAAGUUUAAUCAAUGUGUGACAUGAAACAAAGAUGUUUUUUUGUUUACCUGGCUGUUUUCUAGCCUCCAUCCUGCCAAGGCCAGCAGAUCCUUUAUUCCAGAGGAGAUUAACAUAACCAAGCUGUUUGUCUCCUAUUUAUAACCAGGCCUCUUCAUUAGGACAGCCUAGGGUUGUUUUAGCUGAAACGAUGCCUGCUGUACAUCCAGGCAUUUUAACAAAUUCUUGAUACAAAAUAAAGGUUUGAGAUAAAAAAAGAUUUUUAAAAGAAGUGUGCAAGUCUGAUGAAGUUACAUAACGUAAUAAGACCUUUGAAAUACCGAGUGGAAUGGCAUUUAAAGCUCAAUUUGCAAUUCAAAUCAACAUUGGUUUAAAAGACACAGCAUGGUUUGGCUGAUUAUCACCAUAAAAAUGUCAAAUCACAAAAUUAGGAUAAAUCUACAAGUUCCUAAAAAAGGAAUAUACAUGUUACAAUUAUGUUUAGACUUGAUGCAUUCUCAGAAGGACAACAUAAAAAAAAGAUUGCAAUGACAUGAUUUUGGAAUUCAUAUUUCAGUAGCAUUUUACAUUGAAAUUCAAACAACUGGAUUUUCUUUAGUGCUGUUACCUUGCAGGUGUAUCCGCCUAAAAAGUCGGUACAGGUGGCUCCGUUUUGGCAGGGGUUCGGGGUGCAUUCGUCCACCUGCUCCUCACAGUAACUCCCAGUAUAUCCAACCUGGCAGUGGCAGUAGUGAACGUCUCCUGCGUCCAGACACUGACCCGAAUUACGACACAGAUGGGCAACAUCGACUCCUACGCAGACAGGAUGAGACGGAGACACUUGGGACGUCACAAUAAAGUCCCCUCCAGCCAGUCUCACACUCGCAGUUGUAGGAGGUUCCCCUCUGCCAGCAUGUUCCCUCGUUCUUACAGGGGGACAAGUCGCACCAG
Molecule: long non-coding RNA, 1741 nt
Organism: Cottoperca gobio
Lineage: Eukaryota; Metazoa; Chordata; Actinopteri; Perciformes; Bovichtidae
Exons: 4
Source: RefSeq, a predicted model, not a curated record